UAGAUUUGAAUUCCAGCUAUGUGACAUUGGG
This 31-nucleotide non-coding RNA is filed under the name Homo sapiens (human). Lineage: Eukaryota; Metazoa; Chordata; Mammalia; Primates; Hominidae. The record is from RNAcentral.